This 257-nucleotide unclassified non-coding RNA is filed under the name Hevea brasiliensis (rubber tree). The record is from RNAcentral. Lineage: Eukaryota; Viridiplantae; Streptophyta; Magnoliopsida; Malpighiales; Euphorbiaceae.
GGAAAAUAAAAGGAACUCUUUGCUGCUCUCUUACUAUGGUCUGAACAACAUAAAACUUUCAAACCCUUCUAACAUUUUCUUGUCAGAAGCAGUACUGCACCCGCUUUAUACAGAGAAAAACUGUACUGACUUUAAGAAGGCGAAGAUUGAUGGUUUUUAAUUAAACCUGAGAGGACCUGGCUCAUCAGCAGCCUCUAAAACGGCAAGUAGACAGACGGAAUGGAUUAUUUACCUGUUCUACAGAUCAUUCACAUUAA